Long non-coding RNA from Bos taurus (domestic cattle), 872 nucleotides. The record is from Ensembl. Lineage: Eukaryota; Metazoa; Chordata; Mammalia; Artiodactyla; Bovidae.
CUGACCUCUGCCUUCCUCAGACCCACCCUCUUCACCAGCUGUCCUGAACAUCCUCCCAGACAGCCCAUCUGACAAGCCACACCCAGUACUUGUCAUUUGGUGGCUGUGCCAGCCCCGCAAUGGACCUGCUGCUGACCAGCGUGGAAAGUGCAACGUGUACAUGAGGUCAGCAGAAUAACGGACCGCAACUAGAUCCACAUCCUAAUCCCCAGAGCCUUGAGCCGAGUGACAGAGGAAGCACACGCAUGUAAGUUAAAUAAGCAGGGUGGCAAUACACAACCUUGAUGUACUCCUUGCCCUAUUUGGAACCAGCCUGUUGGACUUCCCUGGUGGCUCAGACGGUAAAGCAUCUGUCUACAAUGCGGGAGAUGCGGGUUCAAGCCCUAGGUUGGGAAGAUCUCCUGGAGAAGGAAAUGUCAGUCCACUCCAGUACUAUUGCCUGGAAAAUCACAUGGACAGAGGAGCCUGGUAGGCUACAGUCUAAGAGGUCGAAAAGAGUCAGACACGACUGAGCGACUUCACUUUCACUUUCUGUUGUUCCAUGUUUAGUUCUAACUGUUGCUUUUUGACCUGCAUACAGAUUUCUCAGGAGACAGGUACGGUGUUCUGAUAUUCCCAUCUCUUUAAGAAUUUUCCACAGUUUAUUGUGAUCCACACAAAGGCUUUGGCUUAGUUAAUAAAGCAGAAGUAGAUGUUUUUCUGGAACUCUUCCUUUUUCCAUGAUCUAACGGAUGUUGGCAAUUUGAUUUCUGGUUCCUCUGCCUUUUCUAAAUCCAGCUUGAAUAUCUGGAAGUUCAUGGUUCACAUACUGUUGAAGCCUCGCUUGGAGAGUUUUGAGCAUACUUUGCUAGCAUAUGAGAUGCCUGAAAUUG